GCAAGAUACCACGGGCGCACGGCGGAUGCCUUGGCACAGGGAGCCGAUGAAGGACGCGGCAAGCUGCGAUAAUCCCCGGCGAGGAGCACACAUCCUUCGACCCGGGGGUCUCCGAAUGGGCGAACCCAUGCACAGCGGUGUGCAUAUCCCCGGCCCGAACACAUAGGGCCGGGGAGGACAACCCGGGGAACUGAAACAUCUAAGUACCCGGAGGAGAGGAAAUCAAUCUCGAGACUCCCCGAGUAGCGGCGAGCGAAAGGGGACCGAUGGCCAAACCGUCGAGCGGGCAUACCCGGCAGGGGUUCCGCCGACGGGGUUGCAGGGCCGCGCAUCCGGGGGCUGCCGCCCCCGGGCGCAGGUCCGGCUGGGGAGCGGAACGGCAUGGGAGGGCCGGCCGCAGCGGGUGACAGCCCCGUACGCGAACCCAGACCGGACGGCGCGACGCGGUCCCUGAGUAGGGCCGGGCACGUGAAACCCGGUCCGAACCUGGGUGGACCACCAUCCAAGCCUGAGUACUACCCUGUGACCGAUAGCGCACCAGUACCGUGAGGGAAAGGUGAAAAGCACCCCGGGAGGGGAGUGAAACAGUACCUGAAACCGUGCGCCCACGAGCAGUCGGAGCAACUUUACGUUGUGACGGCGUGCCUUUUGUAGAAUGAGCCAGCGAGUCGCUGGCGCGGGGCGAGGUUAACCGAAAGGGAGCCGGAGCGAAAGCGAGCCUUAACAGGGCGACUUGAGUCCCGCGCCGCGGACGCGAAGCCGGGUGAGCUAUCCGUGGGCAGGCUGAAGCGGGGGUAAGACCCCGUGGAGGGCCGAACGCACGUCGGUUGAAAACGGCGGCGAUGACCUGCGGAUAGGGGUGAAAGGCCAAUCAAACCCGGAGAUAUCUCGUUCUCCCCGAAAUAGCUUUAGGGCUAGCGUCGCGCGUUCACCGCCGGAGGUAGAGCACCGGAUGGACGAGGGGGCUUCGCCGCCUACCGAAUCCAACCGAACUCCGAAUGCCGGCGGCCCAGAGCGCGGCAGUCAGAGCAUGUGGGCUAAGCUGUGUGCUCGAGAGGGAAACAGCCCGGACCGCCCGCUAAGGUCCCCAAGUUCCAGCCGAGUGGCAAAGGAUGUGCGUCCGCCCAGACAACCAGGAUGUUGGCUUAGAAGCAGCCAUCCAUUCAAAGAGUGCGUAACAGCUCACUGGUCGAGUGGACAUGCGCCGACAAUACACGGGGCUAAGCUGGACACCGAAGCGGCGGGAUUUUAAUUCAUUAGAAUCGGUAGGGGAGCUUCCCAUGGGCGGAGAAGCCGGAGGGCGACCGACGGUGGAGCGCAUGGGAGUGAGAAUGCUGGCAUGAGUAGCGAGAGACGAGAGAGUAACUCGUCCGCCGUGAACCCGAGGUUUCCUGGGCAAGGCUAAUCCUCCCAGGGUCAGUCGGGGGCUAAGGCGAGGCCGGUAGGCGUAGCCGACGCGCAGCAGGCAGACAUUCCUGCACCGCGCACGCGGCGCUACGACCGACGGGGCGACGGAUGGGGGUGGCUCGGCGGGGUUCUGGACGUCCCCGUGAUGGAGCGCGGCCCGCGGACCAGGGAAAUCCGGUCCGCAUGAAGGGCGAGGCUCCGGACGAAGCGAUUGAGCGAAGCGAGUGAGCCCGAGGUCCCUAGAAAAACCCCUAGGCAGGCGCGUGCGCGCCCGUACCGCAAACCGACACAGGUGGGUGGGUAGAACAUACCGAGGCGAUCGGGUCAACCAUGGUCAAGGAACUCGGCACAAUGGCCCCGUAACUUCGGGAGAAGGGGUGCCCGCGCGUACGUGAACCGGCUCGCCCGGGGAGCGGAGGCGGGCCGCAGUGGAGAGGCCCAAGCGACUGUUUACCAAAAACACAGGACUCUGCAGAAGCCGCAAGGCGACGUAUAGGGUCUGACGCCUGCCCGGUGCCGGAAGGUCACGCGGAGGAGUUAGCCGUCAAGGCGAAGCCCCGAAGCCAAGCCCCGGUAAACGGCGGCCGUAACUAUAACGGUCCUAAGGUAGCGAAAUUCCUUGUCGGGU
RNAcentral lists this ribosomal RNA (2035 nucleotides) under human gut metagenome. Its description in RNAcentral is "bacterial LSU rRNA". It matches the Rfam family "Bacterial large subunit ribosomal RNA", at positions 1 to 1977 of the family's 2925-position model. The record is from RNAcentral.